Molecule: long non-coding RNA, 216 nt
Filed under: Struthio camelus australis
Lineage: Eukaryota; Metazoa; Chordata; Aves; Struthioniformes; Struthionidae
Description: lncRNA (ENSSCUG00000016667.1)
Source: RNAcentral
UAAACAGAAAGAUCGAAGACAGCACAGCUGUCUUUUUUGUUGACUCAAUAGUCUACUUGGUUUCAGGACUAGGGUUCUUAGUAUGUUAAGAAGAUAUUUAGCUCCUCAGAGUUGAAUUCAGUUCCCUCAACACAGGCAUCUGUUGACAUUUGACAAGCCCUUGGGUAUCAGACCGGACUCACAGCUGCUUCUCCAGAAGGGCAGGAGGCAUGGGAU